AGAGUUUGAUCCUGGCUCAGGAUUAACGCUGGCGGCGUGCCUAACACAUGCAAGUCGAACGAGGUAGCAAUACCUAGUGGCAGACGGGUGAGUAACGCGUGGUCAACCUACCUUCGAGUGGGGGAUAACUAGCCGAAAGGUUAGCUAAUACCGCAUGAAACGUAGCGCGGCAUCGUGCAACGUUAAAAGAAGCAAUUCGC
This 200-nucleotide ribosomal RNA is filed under the name uncultured bacterium. RNAcentral's name for it is "partial 16S ribosomal RNA". It matches the Rfam family "Bacterial small subunit ribosomal RNA", at positions 8 to 218 of the family's 1533-position model. The record is from RNAcentral.